Molecule: long non-coding RNA, 1394 nt
Organism: Pteropus alecto (black flying fox)
Lineage: Eukaryota; Metazoa; Chordata; Mammalia; Chiroptera; Pteropodidae
Exons: 3
Source: RefSeq, a predicted model, not a curated record
GAAGCGCGAGCCGGGAGGCUCGCUCCCGACGUCUCCGCAGUAGGGGGAGUUAGGGUCUGCCAGAGUGGGCAGCUCAUCAGUUUAUACAAAGAAGCCAGCUGGAAUUCUGAGCUUGAUUGCACUGAAUCUAUAGAUUAGAUUGCGGAGUAUCAUCAUUUUAACAAUAUGUGUCUCCUCUACCAAUCUGUGAACCCUUUGAAGACAAGGACCAAGUCUGAUCCAUCUGUUUGUUCCAAGGGCCCAGCACAGGCUGAUACACCUCACACUGGCCAGACUGCAUGAGGCAUGUUGUUAUCUUCAGUUCCCAGCAAGACAGAUUAAAGGGCACAUUAGCCAUUGGAGCCUUUUGAGAUGAAGGCAGUGGUGUGGUGUCUGGAAGCCACGUUCUGUGAAGAACAGAAGAAGAAUCAGGAAAGCUUAACUUGAAGAGACCACUACUGGGAGAGAAUUCAUUCGCUGACUCAAUAGACCAUUUCUGGGCACCUCCUCUAUCCCAGGCCCUGGUCUGGGGCUGAGAGAGCCACAGAUGAUGGAGCUACAGUCCCUGUCUGGGGAGCUCACAGUCUGGAUAGGGUCAGACAUGGAAACAAGUAACUGCAAUACAGUGUGGCCAGUGCCACACGAGGGGGAAGUAGGGCAUGGCCAGGAGAAGCCUCUCAAAGAAGGCCUAGAAGGAGGGCAGAAUUAUGACAAAGCUGGGGACAGGUUUCAGUUUAGAAUGAGGAAUAACUUUCUAACAAUCAGAAUUAUGCAAGAAUAGAAAGCUGCUUGCUCCAUAUCUGGAGAUGUGUGAGCAGGGCUGAGUUGAUCACUUCACAGACUGGAUAUUGAUAUCUGUCAACAAAAGAGCCAAUGUGGAGGCUGCAGGGAACUCCUCAUAAUAACACAGUUAUUAAACCACUGCUUCCUCUUAAGUGCUAAGUACUGGGAUACGUAGACAAAGAAAAUUCCCUGGCUUAGAAAAGCUCACAGGUUAGGUAAAUUGAAACAGUAUAACACUACGGCCUUAUAUCAGUGUCUCUUGAAUUCGAAUAGUGUAUAGACCUUUUUAAAAGAGAAAAAUUAUUGAGGUACUCAGUGCUGACAAUCUAAAUAUGUUCAAAUUUAAACACAGUAUAAACUCCUGUAAAUGCAACUGUAAAAGUAUAUCUUUUACAGAGAUGAUUUUUAAUCAAUACAAACUUUUAUUGAAUAUGAACAAAAGUAAAAAACUAAUAAAAGGCUAAUAGCAAUACUAAUGCUACUGGUCAUAACAGAUUCUUUUGCACUCAACCUGCCAGUUCCAUAGAAGUAUUCCAGUUAGUUAAAUGGAGAAGGAAUGAUAGAAUCAGAGUUUCACAUUUUGCAAAUCUCUAAUAAAAUAAUGAAUCUGGGGAAUGGUCAUCACACACACA